GCUGCACCAUGCUCUUCACAGCAUGCCUCUCCUGCACAUGCGUCCACUUCAUCUUCUGCUGCUUGUUCACCAGCUCAUUCCGAAGACACAAGUGGCGAGGACAUGGUAACUUUGUGGCCAGGGGUGGCCAUAACAGUUUGGCAAAAGAGAUUACUAAAUGCCAAAAAAAACAAAUGUUAAAGAAUACACAAACACCCUGCUGCGGAUGAUUCACACACCAGAAUUACUACAGUCAUCUUCCCUCACUGGGAAGAAAAGCAACGCUUUUAAAGAUAUGAGUGCCAAAAAGAAGCUGCCUGGUGUAGAGUUCGCAAUUGAUUAUAUCAAAGAACAGACCCGGUCUCCUGAUGCUAAACCAGUCAAAACGGCCAUCACUCACCUGUUGAACACGGAAAGCAAACGCUUACUGAAGAAGUGUGAUACCACUGAUUAAAGCCUUCCCCUAAUGUUCAAUAUUUCAUCCAAUACAAAGUUAAAUUGUCACUGUUUGUGUAUUGUUUAUUUGUGAAAUAAAUGUUAUAUUUAAAUGUUUAAUUGUUCCUAUUAUCCUUUGUAUAUUUUAUGGCAUAAUGACUUGUAGGUUCUUAUAGAGAGCCUAUAGGUUAAUCUAUAGGUUACAUAGAAAUCCUAUAGGCUAUCGUAUAAGCUCCUAUAGGUUGAUCUAUAGGUUUAGAUAGAAAUCCUAUAGGCUAUCGUAUAAGCUCCUAUAGGUUGAUCUAUAGGUUCUGAUAGAAAUCCUAUAGGUUAUUGUAUAGGUUCUUAUAGGGGCCCUAUAGGUUGUUCUAUAGGUUUUGAUAGAAAUUCUAUGGGUUGGUGUAUAGGUUCUUAUAGAAUUCCUAUAGGUUGGCCUAUGGGUUCUUAUGGGGGCCCU
Molecule: long non-coding RNA, 871 nt
Organism: Thalassophryne amazonica
Lineage: Eukaryota; Metazoa; Chordata; Actinopteri; Batrachoidiformes; Batrachoididae
Exons: 3
Source: RefSeq, a predicted model, not a curated record